AUGGUUUUCAAGACCCAGUUGUACACACUGACUGGUGUACCCCCGGAACGGCAAAAAAUUAUGGUGAAGGGUGGAAUAUUGAAGGAUGAGACAGAUUGGUCUACUUUGGGACUUAAAGAUGGUCAAAAGUUGAUGAUGAUAGGUACGGCUGAUGAAAUUGUGAAAGCUCCAGAGAAAGGCCCUGUGUUUGUUGAAGAUUUACCAGAAGAAGAGCAAGCGGCUGCAUUGGGGCAUACUGCUGGUCUCUAUAACUUGGGGAAUACAUGUUACAUGAAUUCCACUCUUCAGUGUCUGCAUUCUGUUCCAGAGCUUAAGUCAGCAUUACUGAGUUAUUCAGAUAACGUGAGGGGCAAUGGGGUGGAUCAAGCAUCCCAUAGUUUAACAGUUGCAACUCGUAAUACUUUCGGAGAGCUUGAUCAAAGCGUUCGACCAGUUGCACCUCUUCACUUCUUACAGAUGCUGCGGAAAAAAUACCCCCAAUUUGCUCAACAGCAAAAUAAUGUUUACAUGCAGCAGGACGCAGAGGAGUGCUGGACACAGCUGAUCUAUACGCUUUCUCAAACACUUACAUCAGAAGCAAGUGAACCUACUGCUGCUCAGAUGAAGGAACUUUUCGGGAUUGAUCUUGUGAGCAGGGUACACUGUGCAGAAAGUGGUGAGGAGAGUUCAGAGGCAGAGUCGGUUUAUUCUCUGAAGUGCCAUAUAUCUCAUGAUGUAAACCACCUUCAUGAAGGACUGAAGCAUGGUUUGAAGACAGAACUUGAGAAGGUUUCCCCAUCACUGGGCCGGACUGCUAUUUACACAAGAGAGUCGAGAAUAAAUGAGUUGCCUAGGUACUUGACUGUGCAGUUUGUUCGUUUCUUUUGGAAAAGGGAGUCAAACCAAAAGGCGAAGAUUUUACGUAAAGUGGAUUACCCUCUGGAGCUUGAUGUCUAUGACUUCUGCUCGGAUGAGUUGAAACUAAAACUUCAAACUCCUCGACAGGUGCUGAGAGAUGCAGAAAGUGCCAGGUUUGGUUUGAAAGUAGAGGUGAAAACAAGCAGCUCACAGAAUAUCGAGGGGUCAUCAACUAGUGCUGGGGAAUCAUCUAGCAUGGACAUUGACAAAGCUGAUUCUUCUGUGCCAAAGAAACAAUUAACUGGCAUCUAUGAUUUAAUUGCUGUCUUGACACACAAGGGAAGAAGUGCAGAUUCUGGCCACUACGUUGGCUGGGUUAAGCAAGAUGAUGGAAAAUGGAUUGAGUUUGAUGACGACAACCCAAGCAUACGGAAGGAGGAAGAGAUUUUGAAACUAUCUGGUGGAGGCGACUGGCACAUGGCAUAUAUCUGCCUUUACAAAGCUCGUGUUAUCUGA
Molecule: ribosomal RNA, 1353 nt
Filed under: Triticum aestivum (bread wheat)
Lineage: Eukaryota; Viridiplantae; Streptophyta; Magnoliopsida; Poales; Poaceae
Description: partial small subunit ribosomal RNA
Source: RNAcentral